GAGGGUAGAGCUCAGUGGUAGAGUGCCUGCUUAGCAUGCAUGAGGUCCUGGGUUCAAUCCCCACCACCUACC
Molecule: transfer RNA, 72 nt
Filed under: Camelus bactrianus (Bactrian camel)
Lineage: Eukaryota; Metazoa; Chordata; Mammalia; Artiodactyla; Camelidae
Also listed under: 1 other name
Rfam family: tRNA
About the family: Transfer RNA (tRNA) molecules are approximately 80 nucleotides in length. Their secondary structure includes four short double-helical elements and three loops (D, anti-codon, and T loops). Further hydrogen bonds mediate the characteristic L-shaped molecular structure. tRNAs have two regions of fundamental functional importance: the anti-codon, which is responsible for specific mRNA codon recognition, and the 3' end, to which the tRNAs corresponding amino acid is attached (by aminoacyl-tRNA synthetases). tRNAs cope with the degeneracy of the genetic code in two manners: having more than one tRNA (with a specific anti-codon) for a particular amino acid; and 'wobble' base-pairing, i.e. permitting non-standard base-pairing at the 3rd anti-codon position.
Source: Rfam by way of RNAcentral